GGCAAGAUGGCCGAGCGGUCCAAGGCGCCAGGUUCAGGUCCACUUGAAUUACUCUGAACAUCCUGUUCAAAGCUUCCUGGUCUCAGAAAUGGGGCGUGAGUUCGAAUCUCACUCUUGUCA
This 120-nucleotide transfer RNA is filed under the name Thermochaetoides thermophila DSM 1495. Its description in RNAcentral is "Chaetomium thermophilum var. thermophilum DSM 1495 tRNA". It matches the Rfam family "tRNA". From Rfam's summary of the family: Transfer RNA (tRNA) molecules are approximately 80 nucleotides in length. Their secondary structure includes four short double-helical elements and three loops (D, anti-codon, and T loops). Lineage: Eukaryota; Fungi; Ascomycota; Sordariomycetes; Sordariales; Chaetomiaceae. The record is from Rfam by way of RNAcentral.